Molecule: unclassified non-coding RNA, 244 nt
Filed under: plant metagenome
Description: partial contains small subunit ribosomal RNA, internal transcribed spacer 1, and 5.8S ribosomal RNA
Source: RNAcentral
UCUCCGUUGGUGAACCAGCAGAGGGAUCAUUACCGAGUUUACAACUCCCAAACCCAAUGUGAACCAUACCAAACUGUUGCCUCGGCGGGGUCACGCCCCGGGUGCGUCGCAGCCCCGGAACCAGGCGCCCGCCGGAGGGACCAACCAAACUCUUUCUGUAGUCCCCUCGCGGACGUUAUUUUUACAGCUCUGAGCAAAAAUUCAAAAUGAAUCAAAACUUUCAACAACGGAUCUCUUGGUUCUG